AGCGGCGGACGGGUGAGUAACACGUGGGUAACCUGCCCAAGAGACUGGGAUAACACCUGGAAACAGAUGCUAAUACCGGAUAACAACACUAGACGCAUGUCUAGAGUUUAAAAGAUGGUUCUGCUAUCACUCUUGGAUGGACCUGCGGUGCAUUAGCUAGUUGGUAAGGUAACGGCUUACCAAGGCAAUGAUGCAUAGCCGAGUUGAGAGACUGAUCGGCCACAUUGGGACUGAGACACGGUCCAUACUCUUACGGGAGGCAGCAGUAGGGAAUCUUCCACAAUGGGCGCAAGCCUGAUGGAGCAACACCGCGUGAGUGAAGAAGGGUUUCGGCUCGUAAAGCUCUGUUGUUGGAGAAGAACGUGCGUGAGAGUAACUGUUCACGCAGUGACGGUAUCCAACCAGAAAGUCACGGCUAACUACGUGCCAGCAGCCGCGGUAAUACGUAGGUGGCAAGCGUUGUCCGGAUUUAUUGGGCGUAAAGCGAGUGCAGGCGGUUCAAUAAGUCUGAUGUGAAAGCCUUCGGCUCAACCGGAGAAUUGCAUCAGAAACUGUUGAACUUGAGUGCAGAAGAGGAGAGUGGAACUCCAUGUGUAGCGGUGGAAUGCGUAGAUAUAUGGAAGAACACCAGUGGCGAAGGCGGCUCUCUGGUCUGCAACUGACGCUNANGCUCGAAAGCAUGGGUAGCGAACAGGAUUAAAUACCCUGGUA
Molecule: ribosomal RNA, 711 nt
Filed under: uncultured bacterium
Lineage: Bacteria
Description: bacterial SSU rRNA
Rfam family: Bacterial small subunit ribosomal RNA
Source: RNAcentral